RNAcentral lists this ribosomal RNA (1263 nucleotides) under Triticum aestivum (bread wheat). RNAcentral's name for it is "partial small subunit ribosomal RNA". The record is from RNAcentral. Lineage: Eukaryota; Viridiplantae; Streptophyta; Magnoliopsida; Poales; Poaceae.
AUGCCCCCAAUCCCACCCCCACCCCCUCUCGGCUUGGGGCUUCUCACUUCACCACCGCUCGCGUCGUCCCCCGCUGGCGAUUUCGUCUGCCCGUUGCCCCCUCCGAGUUCGUCGCCGUCGCCGUCGCCCCCUGCUGGCGAGUUAGUCGCCGUCGCCACCUCCAAACUUGUCUCCAUCGCCGUCGCUCCUUCAGCGCGCCUGCCGCUGCCACUUGAUCUGGCUAUGGAGCAUCUUCAGGACAUGGCUUCUGUCAUGUAUGAUGAUAUACCACCAGACUGCUUUAAUGCCAAAGUCCCACUACAUGUUUUUAAGUACCCUGACAACGAGGUUAUCCCGUUCUCAUGGAGCGUGAGAACUCAGGAAGGAGGCUCUACUAAAUGGAUCAGGGCUUCAAAAUUUGACCCUUUUGUCGCUAGUUGCAGAACUUAUGGACGGACAGAAGCUGCCCCUAUAUUGCCUUCUUCUCUUCAUGUCACGGUGAUGGUGUAUAUGCCUCUUCGUGAUGCCUAUCAACUGCAUGGGCUUAUGCAGGAUUCAGAUAUAUUACCUGUUGGGAAGUUGACGGUUGAUGCUCAACCUCAAGUCGAACCAUAUGUACUGCCAAUGGAAGUGGAGAUGCAAUGCCCUGAUGAGAAGGUGGGAUACAUUCAACCUAAUGCUGAGCAUGAUCUGAGUAUCGGUUUCACAGUUGUCAACUAUAACCUUCUCUGGUCCAAGGCAAAUCAGUACUUACAGAGGUUCAUCAAUGACAUUGAUAUAUGCACCGAUGUACUUGCUGGUAGACCAUCACCAGAUCUUGAAAGUUUGGAGGCUGCUUUGGAUGAUGCUAAAAAGAUGCUUAUCUUUAUCAUGUACAAUAGGAACAUUCCAGAGGCACACAACGUCUUACUGGAAAUGUUUCCUGAAGUACAUAAUACUGUUUACUUGGACUGUCAACAUUGCCAACACCCAGAUGCUGCUGUUGUGCAUGAAGAUUCCCCUGAGACUGUUGCGAGGCUGAAUGAAGCACUUGAAAAUCUCGGAUAUCAAGAUUAUGAUCUCCAUCACUCUGUCGAAGCUGCACAGUAUAAUCUGAUGGCUGUUAAGGGUAGACUGGAAUAUGGCAAACACUACCAAAGUGCGUCAGUUGCUUUUGCACUUGCAAGGAAAGAGUUUAGUGAUGCUCUGAAGCCCAUCAUCCACAAUAUGACAAUGGCCGUGAAGAAGCUGACGUUAAUGGGAGUCCCAAGUGAUGGCGAAGAUGGGCUUUUCGAACUGAACUGA